RNAcentral lists this ribosomal RNA (793 nucleotides) under Methanosaeta sp. enrichment culture clone L35A_18. Its description in RNAcentral is "bacterial SSU rRNA". It matches the Rfam family "Archaeal small subunit ribosomal RNA", at positions 85 to 879 of the family's 1478-position model. Lineage: Archaea; Methanobacteriati; Methanobacteriota; Methanomicrobia; Methanotrichales; Methanotrichaceae. The record is from RNAcentral.
ACUGCUCAGUAACACGUGGACAACCUGCCCUUAGGUUGGGUAUAAACCCGGGAAACUGGGUAUAAUACCCGAUAGGUCUCGAUUGCUGGAAUGCAUCGAGAUUUAAAGCUCCGGCGCCUAAGGAUGGGUCUGCGGCCUAUCAGGUAGUAGUGGGUGUAGCGUACCUACUAGCCUACGACGGGUACGGGUUGUGAGAGCAAGAGCCCGGAGAUGGAUUCUGAGACACGAAUCCAGGCCCUACGGGGUGCAGCAGGCGCGAAAACUUUACAAUGCUGGCAACAGCGAUAAGGGAACCUCGAGUGCCAGGUUACAAAUCUGGCUGUCGAGAUGCCUAAAAAGCAUUUCAUAGCAAGGGCCGGGCAAGACCGGUGCCAGCCGCCGCGGUAACACCGGCGGCUCGAGUGGUAACCGUUAUUAUUGGGUCUAAAGGGUCUGUAGCCGGCCGGAUAAGUCUCUUGAGAAAUCUGGCAGCUUAACUGUCAGGCUUUCAGGAGAUACUGUCUGGCUCGAGGCCGGGAGAGGUGAGAGGUACUUCAGGGGUAGGGGUGAAAUCUUGUAAUCCUUGAAGGACCACCAGUGGCGAAGGCGUCUCACCAGAACGGACCUGACGGCAAGGGACGAAAGCCAGGGGCACGAACCGGAUUAGAUACCCGGGUAGUCCUAGCCGUAAACGAUACUCGCUAGGUGUCGGCCACGGUGCGACCGUUGUCGGUGCCGUAGGGAAGCCGUGAAGCGAGCCACCUGGGAAGUACGGCCGCAAGGCUGAAACUUAAAGGAAUUGGCGGGGGAGCAC